This 475-nucleotide ribosomal RNA is filed under the name uncultured bacterium. Its description in RNAcentral is "partial 16S ribosomal RNA". It matches the Rfam family "Bacterial small subunit ribosomal RNA", at positions 46 to 523 of the family's 1533-position model. The record is from RNAcentral.
GCUUAAUACAUGCAAGUCGAGCGAGAAGCCACCGCUCCGUAAGGAGUGGUGGUGGAAAGCGGCGAACGGGUGAGUAACACGUGGGUAACGUGCCCCGAACCCUGGGAUAACGGCGGGCAACCGCCGCCAAUACCGGCUAGCCCUGCCGCCGCGCAUCAUGCAGCCAGCCAAAGUCCGACGGUUCGGGAUCGGCCCGCGGCGUAUCGGCUUGUUGGUGGGGUAACGGCCUACCAAGGCAGUGACGCGUAGCUGGCGUGAGAGCGCGACCAGCCACACUGGGACUGAGACACGGCCCAGACUCCUACGGGAGGCAGCAGUAGGGAAUCUUGCGCAAUGGGCGAAAGCCUGACGCAGCGACGCCGCGUGAGGGAUGAAGGCCUUCGGGUUGUAAACCUCUUUCAGCGGGGACGAAGCCUCACGGUGACGGUACCCGCAGAAGAAGGUCCGGCCAACUACGUGCCAGCCGCCGCGGUAA